ACGGCGAGUGAAGCGGCAACAGCUCAAAUUUGAAAUCUGGCGUCUUUGGCGUCCGAGUUGUAAUUUGCAGAGGGCGCUUUGGCAUUGGCAGCGGUCCAAGUUCCUUGGAACAGGACGUCACAGAGGGUGAGAAUCCCGUACGUGGUCGCUAGCCUUUACCGUGUAAAGCCCCUUCGACGAGUCGAGUUGUUUGGGAAUGCAGCUCUAAAUGGGAGGUAAAUUUCUUCUAAAGCUAAAUACUGGCCAGAGACCGAUAGCGCACAAGUAGAGUGAUCGAAAGAUGAAAAGCACUUUGGAAAGAGAGUUAAAAAGCACGUGAAAUUGUUGAAAGGGAAGCGCUUGCAGCCAGACUUGCCUGUAGUUGCUCAUCCGGGUUUUUACCCGGUGCACUCUUCUGCGGGCAGGCCAGCAUCAGUUUGGGCGGUUGGAUAAAGGUCUCUGUCAUGUACCUCUCUUCGGGGAGAACUUAUAGGGGAGACGACAUGCAACCAGCCUGGACUGAGGUCCGCGCAUCUGCUAGGAUGCUGGCGUAAUGGCUGUAAGCGGCCCGUCUUGAAACACGGACCAAGGAGUCUAACAUCUAUGCGAGUGUUUGGGUGUCAAGCCCGAGCGCGUAAUGAAAGUGAACGGAGGUGGGAACCUUUCGGGGUGCACCAUCGACCGAUCCUGAUGUCUUUGGAUGGAUUUGAGUAAGAGCAUAGCUGUUGGGACCCGAAAGAUGGUGAACUAUGCUUGAAUAGGGUGAAGCCAGAGGAAACUCUGGUGGAGGCUCGCAGCGGUUCUGACGUGCAAAUCGAUCGUCAAAUUUGGGCAUAGGGGCGAAAGACU
Molecule: ribosomal RNA, 828 nt
Filed under: Xenodidymella glycyrrhizicola
Lineage: Eukaryota; Fungi; Ascomycota; Dothideomycetes; Pleosporales; Didymellaceae
Description: partial large subunit ribosomal RNA
Rfam family: Eukaryotic large subunit ribosomal RNA
Source: RNAcentral